CGGAGAUAGCUGGUUCUCCUCGAAAUAGCUUUAGGGCUAGCCUCGAGCUGGAGUCUAACGGAGGUAAAGCACUGAACUGACGCGGGGCCCAAAAAGGUUACCAACUCAUAUCAAACUAAGAAUGCCGUCAAGAUACCCUCGGGAGUCAGUCUGCGUGAGAUAAGUCGCGUGGACAAAAGGGAAAGAGCCCAGACCGACAGCUAAGGUCCCAAAGUACGUGUUAAGUGGAAAAGGAUGUGGGAUUUCAUAGACAACUAGGAUGUUGGCUUAGAAGCAGCCAUACAUUUAAAGAGUGCGUAAUAGCUCACUAGUCGAGAAAACCUGCGCCGAAAAUGUAACGGGGCUAAAACACGACACCGAAGCUACGGAUUUCCUACAAGGUAGGAAGUGGUAGAGGAGCAUCCUGCAAGGACGAAGCCAAAGUGAGAGCGAUGGUGGACGAAACAGGAGAGAGAAUGCCGGAAUGAGUAGCGAGAUACAUGUGAGAAACAUGUAGGCCGAAUAUCUAAGGAUUCCUGGGUAAAGCUAAUCUUCCCAGGGUUAGUCGGGGCCUAAGGCGAGGACGAAAGUCGUAGUCGAUGGAUAACAGGUUGAUAUUCCUGUACUACACAUAAUCAGAACUGUGGGGACGCAGGAGGAUAGGGAAACCGGGGAAUGGAAAGACCCGGUCAAGCGUAAAGCUGUGGGAGAUAGGCAAAUCCGUCUCCUGUAAGUGAAACGUGAUGAGGACUGAAAAAAAGUAAGGAAGUUUCCGAAUCCACACUGCCGAGAAAAGCCGCUAUUGCGUUAUGUGUACCCGUACCGUAAACCGACACAGGUAGAUGAGGAGAAAAUCCACAGGCCGACGGGAGAAGUGUUGUUAAGGAACUCGGCAAAAUGACCCCGUAACUUCGGGAUAAGGGGAGCCUCGCAAGAGGCCGCAGAAAAGAGGCACAAGCAACUGUUUAGCAAAAACAUAGGUCUAUGCGAAACCGUAAGGUGAAGUAUAUGGGCUGACGCCUGCCCGGUGCUGGAAGGUUAAAAGGAGAGGUCAGCGCAAGCGAAGCUUUGAAUUCAAGCCCCAGUAAACGGCGGCCGUAACUAUAACGGUCCUAAGGUAGCGAAAUUCCUUGUCAGGUAAGUUCUGACCCGCACGAAAGGCGUAAUGAUUUGUGCACUGUCUCGACAACACGCCCGGUGAAAUUGAAGAACCAGUGAAGAUACUGGUUACCCGCAACAGGACGGAAAGACCCCAUGGAGCUUUACUGCAGCCUGAUACUGGGAUUCGAUGAUAUAUGUACAGGAUAGGUGGGAGGCUAAGAAGCGAGAACGCUAGUUUUCGUGGAGCCGCCGGUGGGAUACCACUCUUAUGUCAUUGAAUUUCUAACCUGCAUCCGUAAUCCGGGUGAGGGACAAUGUCAGGCGGGCAGUUUGACUGGGGCGGUCGCCUCCUAAAAGGUAACGGAGGCGCUCGAAGGUCACCUCAGAAUGAUUGGAAACCAUUCAAAGAGUGUAAAGGCAAAAGGUGGCUUGACUGCGAGAGCGACGGCUCGAGCAGGUACGAAAGUAGGACUUAGUGAUCCGGUGGUAAUAAGUGGGAAUGCCAUCGCUCAACGGAUAAAAGCUACCCUGGGGAUAACAGGCUUAUCUCCCCCAAGAGUUCACAUCGACGGGGAGGUUUGGCACCUCGAUGUCGGCUCAUCGCAUCCUGGGGCUGAAGUAGGUCCCAAGGGUUGGGCUGUUCGCCCAUUAA
This 1732-nucleotide ribosomal RNA is filed under the name human gut metagenome. Its description in RNAcentral is "bacterial LSU rRNA". It matches the Rfam family "Bacterial large subunit ribosomal RNA", at positions 840 to 2591 of the family's 2925-position model. The record is from RNAcentral.